CAGGCCUAACACAUGCAAGUCGAGCGGACUUAUCCUUCGGGAUAGGUUAGCGGCGGACGGGUGAGUAACACGUAGGCAACCUGCCUGUAAGAUCGGGAUAACUACCGGAAACGGUAGCUAAGACCGGAUAGCUGGUUUCUCCGCAUGGGGGAAUCAUGAAACACGGGGCAACCUGUGGCUUACGGAUGGGCCUGCGGCGCAUUAGCUAGUUGGUGGGGUAACGGCCCACCAAGGCGACGAUGCGUAGCCGACCUGAGAGGGUGAUCGGCCACACUGGGACUGAGACACGGCCCAGACUCCUACGGGAGGCAGCAGUAGGGAAUCUUCCGCAAUGGGCGCAAGCCUGACGGAGCAACGCCGCGUGAGUGAUGAAGGUUUUCGGAUCGUAAAGCUCUGUUGCCAAGGAAGAACGCCUCGGAGAGUAACUGCUCUGAGGGUGACGGUACUUGAGAAGAAAGCCCCGGCUAACUACGUGCCAGCAGCCGCGGUAAUACGUAGGGGGCAAGCGUUGUCCGGAAUUAUUGGGCGUAAAGCGCGCGCAGGCGGUCUUUUAAGUUUGGUGCUUAAGCCCGGGGCUCAACCCCGGUUCGCACUGAAAACUGGGAGACUUGAGUGCAGGAGAGGAAAGCGGAAUUCCACGUGUAGCGGUGAAAUGCGUAGAGAUGUGGAGGAACACCAGUGGCGAAGGCGGCUUUCUGGACUGUAACUGACGCUGAGGCGCGAAAGCGUGGGGAGCAAACAGGAUUAGAU
Molecule: ribosomal RNA, 750 nt
Filed under: uncultured bacterium
Lineage: Bacteria
Description: bacterial SSU rRNA
Rfam family: Bacterial small subunit ribosomal RNA
Source: RNAcentral